RNAcentral lists this unclassified non-coding RNA (276 nucleotides) under Hevea brasiliensis (rubber tree). The record is from RNAcentral. Lineage: Eukaryota; Viridiplantae; Streptophyta; Magnoliopsida; Malpighiales; Euphorbiaceae.
UGAAUUUUCUCCGAUAUCUUAUCCAUCAAUGACUCCGACACCGACUCCUCCUGCUUAUGCUCCGCCAUUGGAUCAGAAUACAAAAGCCAAACCCUAAAAACCCUUACACUGUUCGAAACGGAGAACGAGCGAAACUCCAAAAGAAUCUCCUUUCUUUGCUAUAAGCCUAUAACACAUUCUCUUGGCCCAAAUAAGAGGCGUUUUGUAGAAGAGUGAAUCGUGACCGUUGAGAUCGAAAUAUGGAUCUUAGCCGUUGAUAGGUUUGGCAACCGAAGC